GACGAACGCUGGCGGCGUGCUUAACACAUGCAAGUCGAACGGUGAAAGAAGAGCUUGCUCUUCUGGAUCAGUGGCGAACGGGUGAGUAACACGUGAGUAACCUGCCCCAGACUCUGGAAUAAGCGCUGGAAACGGCGUCUAAUACCGGAUACGAGACAGAGCUGCAUGGCUACUGUCUGGAAAGUUUUUCGGUCUGGGAUGGACUCGCGGCCUAUCAGCUUGUUGGUGAGGUAACGGCUCACCAAGGCAACGACGGGUAGCCGGCCUGAGAGGGCGAGCGGCGACAAUGGAACUGAGACACGGGCCAGACGCCUACGGGAGGCAGCAGUAGGGAAUCUUGCGCAAUGGGCGAAAGCGGGACGGAGCAACGCCGGGUGAGGGAUGAAGGUCUUCGGAUAGUAAAACUCUGUUAUUAGGGAAGAACAAAUGUGUAAGGAACUAUGCACGUCUUGACGGUACCUAAUCAGAAAGCCACGGCUAACUACGUG
Molecule: ribosomal RNA, 488 nt
Filed under: uncultured bacterium
Lineage: Bacteria
Description: partial 16S ribosomal RNA
Rfam family: Bacterial small subunit ribosomal RNA
Source: RNAcentral